Molecule: ribosomal RNA, 374 nt
Filed under: uncultured prokaryote
Description: bacterial SSU rRNA
Rfam family: Bacterial small subunit ribosomal RNA
Source: RNAcentral
UACAGAGACUGCAAGCGUUGUUCGGAUUCAUUGGGCGUAAAGGGUCCGCAGGCGGUUCGGCAAGUCGGGUGUGAAAUCCCGUAGCUUAACUACGGAAAGUCAUUCGAAACUGCCGAGCUAGAGGACUGGAGAGGAGACUGGAAUGGUCGGUGUAGCGGUGAAAUGCGUAGAGAUCGACCAGAACACCAGUAGCGAAGGCGAGUCUCUGGACAGUUCCUGACGCUCAUGGACGAAAGCCAGGGGAGCAAACGGGAUUAGAUACCCCGGUAGUCCUGGCCCUAAACGGUGCUUACUUGGUGUGGGGGGAUUCGACCCCCUCCGUGCCGUAGCUAACGCGUUAAGUAAGCCGCCUGGGAAGUACGGUCGCAAGAUUA